Molecule: non-coding RNA, 71 nt
Organism: Aeromonas diversa
Lineage: Bacteria; Pseudomonadati; Pseudomonadota; Gammaproteobacteria; Aeromonadales; Aeromonadaceae
Source: Rfam
GCGGGUGUAGUUCAAUGGUAGAACGGGAGCUUCCCAAGCUCUUAGCGUGGGUUCGAUUCCCAUCACCCGCU